GAAAAAAAUAUCAUAUUAGAAAAAUUCGUUAGUUGAAAGCUAUUGGUGACCAGCACAGUUGUAUCUAACGCUACUUCCUGUUCCAUUACCAUGUCAUAGGUGAUAUUGCAAAGUUUCUCUUUCAUCAUGUGGUUUCAAAGGCAGCGGUUUGAAUUAAACGUAUAACCACCAAGCAGUAACAGUUUCGCUUAUUGUAGAAACAUUGUAGGUUCGUUAAUAGUAUGUGUUGGACAUCAGAUGGAGCUAAAAUAUGCAUAGUGUACGAGGAUGGCGCCAUCAUUGUAGGCUCUGUUGAUGGAAAUCGUAUUUGGGGGAAGGAGCUAAAGAAUAUUCAUUUAACUACCAAAAGUUAAUGAUGAAGCUAAAUGUACAGUGCGUCACCCUUAGUCCAAAUAGAAAUUUUAGAAUCUCGGCACUUUGUUGGUAUAGGGGACGGGCACCAUCCAACC
Molecule: long non-coding RNA, 449 nt
Organism: Bactrocera neohumeralis
Lineage: Eukaryota; Metazoa; Arthropoda; Insecta; Diptera; Tephritidae
Exons: 3
Source: RefSeq, a predicted model, not a curated record